Molecule: ribosomal RNA, 252 nt
Filed under: uncultured bacterium
Lineage: Bacteria
Description: partial 16S ribosomal RNA
Rfam family: Bacterial small subunit ribosomal RNA
Source: RNAcentral
GACGUAGGGUGCGAGCGUUGUCCGGAUUUAUUGGGCGUAAAGAGCUCGUAGGCGGCUCGUCGCGUCGACCGUGAAAACCCGCGGCUUAACUGCGGGCUUGCGGUUGAUACGGGCGGGCUAGAGUUCGGUAGGGGAGACUGGAAUUCCUGGUGUAGCGGUGAAAUGCGCAGAUAUCAGGAGGAACACCGGUGGCGAAAGCGGCUUACUGGAUCUUUCUGACGCUGAGGCACGAAAGCUAGGGUAGCGAACGGG